CGGCGAGUGAGCGGCAAUAGCAAAUUUGAAAUCUGGCUCCUUUUAGGGGUCCGAGUUGUAAUUUGCAGAGGGUGCUUUGGCGUUGGUAGCGGUCUAAGUUCCUUGGAACAGGACAUCGCAGAGGGUGAGAAUCCCGUUUGUGGUCGCAUGCCUUCGCCGUGUAAAGCCCCUUCGACGAGUCGAGUUGUUUGGGAAUGCAGCUCUAAAUGGGAGGUAAAUUUCUUCUAAAGCUAAAUACUGGCCAGAGACCGAUAGCGCACAAGUAGAGUGAUCGAAAGAUGAAAAGCACUUUGGAAAGAGAGUCAAACAGCACGUGAAAUUGUUGAAAGGGAAGCGCUUGCAGUCAGACUUGCCCGUAGUUGCUCACCUAGGCUUUUGCCUGGGGCAUUCUUCUGCGGGCAGGCCAGCAUCAGUUUGGGCGGUCGGAUAAAGGUCUCUGUCAUGUAGCUUCCUUCGGGAAGAACUUAUAGGGGAGGCGAAAUGCGACCAGCCCGGACUGAGGUCCGCGCUUCUGCUAGGAUGCUGGCGUAAUGGCUGUAAGCGGCCCGUCUUGAAACACGGACCAAGGAGUCUAACAUCUAUG
RNAcentral lists this ribosomal RNA (583 nucleotides) under Stagonospora sp. RNAcentral describes it as "partial large subunit ribosomal RNA". It matches the Rfam family "Eukaryotic large subunit ribosomal RNA", at positions 87 to 686 of the family's 3401-position model. The record is from RNAcentral. Lineage: Eukaryota; Fungi; Ascomycota; Dothideomycetes; Pleosporales; Massarinaceae.